GCACUGUUGAAGAGUCCCACAAUGGGACGAAACGGAUGUCCAGUGC
This 46-nucleotide non-coding RNA is filed under the name Schistosoma mansoni. The record is from RNAcentral. Lineage: Eukaryota; Metazoa; Platyhelminthes; Trematoda; Strigeidida; Schistosomatidae.